Molecule: ribosomal RNA, 492 nt
Filed under: uncultured bacterium
Lineage: Bacteria
Description: partial 16S ribosomal RNA
Rfam family: Bacterial small subunit ribosomal RNA
Source: RNAcentral
AUUGAACGCUGGCGGCAUGCUUUACACAUGCAAGUCGAACGGUAACAGGCCUUCGGGUGCUGACGAGUGGCGAACGGGUGAGUAAUGCAUCGGAACGUACCCAGAGGUGGGGGAUAACGCAGCGAAAGCUGUGCUAAUACCGCAUGUGAUCUGAGGAUGAAAGCGGGGGACCGAGCAGCAAUGUUUGGCCUCGCGCCUUUGGAGCGGCCGAUGUCGGAUUAGCUAGUUGGUGGGAUAAAGGCCUACCAAGGCGACGAUCCGUAGCUGGUCUGAGAGGACGACCAGCCACACUGGGACUGAGACACGGCCCAGACUCCUACGGGAGGCAGCAGUGGGGAAUUUUGGACAAUGGGCGCAAGCCUGAUCCAGCAAUGCCGCGUGCGGGAAGAAGGCCUUCGGGUUGUAAACCGCUUUUGGCAGGAACGAAACGGUGUCCGCUAAUACCGGGCGCUAAUGACGGUACCUGCAGAAUAAGCACCGGCUAACUACGUG